CACGUAGGCGGAACAGAAAGUCAGAGGUGAAAUCCCGGGGCUCAACCUUGGAACUGCCUUUGAAACUCCUGUUCUUGAGGUCGAGAGAGGUGAGUGGAAUUCCGAGUGUAGAGGUGAAAUUCGUAGAUAUUCGGAGGAACACCAGUGGCGAAGGCGGCUCACUGGCUCGAUACUGACGCUGAGGUGCGAAAGCGUGGGGAGCAAACA
Molecule: ribosomal RNA, 207 nt
Filed under: uncultured bacterium
Lineage: Bacteria
Description: partial 16S ribosomal RNA
Rfam family: Bacterial small subunit ribosomal RNA
Source: RNAcentral